GAUGAACGCUGGCGGCGUGCCUAAUACAUGCAAGUCGAGCGAACAGACGAGGAGCUUGCUCCUCUGACGUUAGCGGCGGACGGGUGAGUAACACGUGGAUAACCUACCUAUAAGACUGGGAUAACUUCGGGAAACCGGAGCUAAUACCGGAUAAUAUAUUGAACCGCAUGGUUCAAUAGUGAAAGACGGUUUUGCUGUCACUUAUAGAUGGAUCCGCGCCGCAUUAGCUAGUUGGUAAGGUAACGGCUUACCAAGGCAACGAUGCGUAGCCGACCUGAGAGGGGGAUCGGCCACAAUGGAACUGAGACACGGGCCAGACUCCUACGGGAGGCAGCAGUAGGGAAUCUUCCGCAAUGGGCGAAAGCCUGACGGAGCAACGCCGCGUGAGUGAUGAAGGUCUUCGGAUCGUAAAACUCUGUUAUUAGGGAAGAACAAAUGUGUAAGUAACUAUGCACGUCUUGACGGUACCUAAUCAGAAAGCCACGGCUAACUACGU
This 496-nucleotide ribosomal RNA is filed under the name uncultured bacterium. RNAcentral's name for it is "partial 16S ribosomal RNA". It matches the Rfam family "Bacterial small subunit ribosomal RNA", at positions 28 to 506 of the family's 1533-position model. The record is from RNAcentral.